Molecule: long non-coding RNA, 2198 nt
Filed under: Capra hircus (goat)
Lineage: Eukaryota; Metazoa; Chordata; Mammalia; Artiodactyla; Bovidae
Description: lncRNA (ENSCHIG00010005776.1)
Source: RNAcentral
CAGGAAUUCAACUGGCAAAAGAACUAAGGUUAACAUCAUGAAAUAAGCAAUGGAAAACUCUGAUAUUUCUAGCCAGGCAGUAAAGAAUGUCUUUUCCUUGUGACAUCUCAAGCCACAGAAGCCAUGUCUUUAAAAAAGUCUCUUAUAUCAGAAAGGCUUUUUACUCCAUCUUUUUCAGGAUUGUAAAAUGUGGUUGGGCAAAGGGGGAGGGUAGUGGGGAAUGCGGAAUUUUUUGAAGCAGAACUGGUAGGAAAUUUAAAAACCUCAUGGACAAUGUGAAAGAGGGGAAGAGAUUUCAGAUGAAAUAAUGCUUCCUCCCCUGACAGAUCCUAAAGAGCUGUAUUGAUAGCGAUCUUCAAACUGUCAAAUUUAAUUUUGUCUAUUGAAAGUAAUUUNNNNNNNUGUAGUUGUAGCCAUUUCAGUUGAUUUUCAUGACUCUUGGACAAUUUUUAUUAGUUAUAUUUAGUGAUUUGAUCUUUCUGUUAGAUCACACAAAAACUGUACAUUCUGGAAAAGUAAUUAUGUCUAUUUCUUCUUCUGACAGAGUAUGAAGUAAAGACUAUAUCUAUGAAAGAAAUAGAUUCACUAAUGGGGUUUUGAAUACUUAAGCGAUGUCCUCGUUCUUUUAACAAAGAGAACUGAAUCAAAACUACAAAUGUUUUGUUUGGUGGAAUUAUAGGAUAGUGAACGACGACAACAAAGAACAUAAUUCAAAACAGACUCCUCUUAAUCUAUGACUGAGGCAGGAAGUACCCUAAGCGACUGGCUGCCCACUGGAAUCACCUGAGAAGCAUUUAAAUAAAUGCCAGUUCCACUUUGCUUAAAUUAACUAUACUUAAAUAAAAUUUUUUAAAAAUUGGAAAAAUCAAAGAAAUAAAUAAAUAAAAAGUGAAAGAAUAAAAAUAAAUAAAUAAAUGCCAGUUUCUAUCUGGGGCUAUCACCUAUGCAUCAAUAUUUUUAAAAGCUCCUCAGGCAGUUUUAAUCAGCAUUCAGUACUCAAAACCAGUAAGUUAUCCUCAAUUAGUCUUGCCCCAAUAUUUACUAAACCCAAUGUUGCUAUAAUUGAAAUAUGAAUUAUGAAAUAAAAUGUAUUGAGUCUUAGUUAUUGGACUUGAAACUUCAUUGCACUGGGAGAAUUAUUUGGUUCUGAGUGUGCUAAGCUUCAGUCAUGUCUGACUCUUUGAGAAUUAUUUAAAAUGUGACAAAUAAAAAAUUUCAAAAAAUAGCAUUAUUAAGAGCCAUGUAUGGUAGAGAACUUGUUCUAAAGGUGUCUUGAAAAGAAAGAAAUCAUAAAGGAGUAGUGAUUAAAGAAAACUUCUGGGAGAAGCUGGGACUCUGUGCAGAGCAGGAUCUGAUGGGACAUUUCCAGAACAGACACCUCCAUAUGUCUUCUGCCUGCCUCUAAACUUUGGAGAAAAAGUUUAGCCUCCUAGGCCUUCUCUGAGUUCCAAAGAACAAAUUUAAUUCGAGAAGUGAGAAAAGGCAGAAACAAAAGAAAACGAUCAACAAGACAAAAUCAUAAUGGUUUAGUCAUUAAACAAAGUCAAGGACCUUUAGUUUCUCCUCACGUUAGUCGCUCAGUCGUGUCUGACUCUCUGCAGCCCCAAAGACUGUAGCCCACCAGACUCCUUUGUCCAUGAUAUUCUCCUGGCAAGAAUACUGGGGUGAGUAGCUAUUCCCUUCUCCAGAGGAUGGUCCUGACCCAGCGAUCGAACCCAGGUUUCCUGCAUUGCAGGCAAAUUCUUUGUCAUCUAAGCCACCAGAGAAGCCCCAAUUUCUCCUCAAGAGAUAAUAUUCUGAGCCACAUCCUCUGAGCUAUUUUUCAGAUGCUGAAACCCCUACCAGGUGGAAGAAGUUAACUGCAAUCUGACCACAAGCACAUAGACUCCAGACCAGUUGGAACCAGAAGGCUGACGAUGUUGAUUGCUGAUUACCUCACCACUAACCAAUCAGAAGAAUAUCUACAAGCUGAUCAUGUACCCUGCAACCCUCUCCAUCACCCUAUCUUUAAAAGUCUUUACCUGAAAGCCACCAGGGAGUUCAGGUCUUUUGAGCAUUAAUAGCUCAGACUCCUAGUUUUACACCUGCAAUUAAUUCUGCACUUUCCUUCACCACAAUCCAGUAUCAGCAGACCUAAAUUUGGUUCAGUAACAAGCCUGGGCUUCAAAGUGUGACAGCUCUAGAGGGUAGCCAGCCUC